GUUGGGCAUGGUGGUGCACACCUGUAAUCCCAGAGGCUUGGGAGGCUGAGGCAGGAGGAUUGCAGGUUGGAAGCCAGCCUCAGCAAUUUAGCAAGGCCCUAUACAACUUAGUGAGAUCCUGUCUCAA
RNAcentral lists this small RNA (127 nucleotides) under Marmota monax (woodchuck). Lineage: Eukaryota; Metazoa; Chordata; Mammalia; Rodentia; Sciuridae. The record is from RNAcentral.